UACGGAGGGAGCAAGCGUUACUCGGAAUUAUUGGGCGUAAAGGGCGCGUAGGCGAUUUGAAAAGUCUUGUGUGAAAGCCCCGAGCUUAACUCGGGAAGUGCACAAGAAACUGUUGAAUUUGAGUUCCGGAGAGGAAGGCAGAAUUCCCGGUGUAGCGGUGAAAUGCGCAGAUAUCAGGAAGAACACCCGUGGCUAAGGCGGCUCUCUAGUACGGUACUGACGCUGAGACGCGAAAGCGUGGGGAGCGAACAGG
Molecule: ribosomal RNA, 253 nt
Filed under: uncultured bacterium
Lineage: Bacteria
Description: partial 16S ribosomal RNA
Rfam family: Bacterial small subunit ribosomal RNA
Source: RNAcentral